Molecule: long non-coding RNA, 768 nt
Filed under: Scleropages formosus (Asian bonytongue)
Lineage: Eukaryota; Metazoa; Chordata; Actinopteri; Osteoglossiformes; Osteoglossidae
Description: lncRNA (ENSSFOG00015026148.1)
Source: RNAcentral
GCGGAGACAAGUUCAAAAAAGUGUAUAAUAUCAUAAUAUCUCCAAUUUUAUUAUAUUGAUCGACACGUUGAGAGGAUUUGUGAGGGAAAAUAAACCCCAAUGAAGAGAAUGUCACGAGAAGGCACGACCUGUUGAACCUCCGUCAUCAUUUAAACGCUUUAUUAGGUGUUUUUUUUUUUUUUUUUUUUUUUUCGUCGAGUUUGCGAUCUGACUGCAGUCCGGUCGGUCUCGAGAGGGAGGCGCGAGACGGGCGCUAGUUGAGUUGAGUCGAGUUGAAGCGUCGAGGCGAGGCGAGGCGGGGGCGGGGAGCGCGCGGUGCGCUCUCGCGCCAAUGAGGGCAUCCCGGGCUUGGCAGGAACGCGUCCACGUGACCGUGGAGAGCACCGACACACGCCGGCGGGGCUCCUUCUCAAACACACCGCCGACAGGAGGAGAAGCGCGAAGGGGAGCGAGCGACAGAGAAGACGUCCACGGUGACACACACUCGUCCACACACCUCCUCGACGUGCAGAAGAUGGACGGCUACACGCGCACCGAAGACGAGCUCUUCCCCUCAUGCCUGCUCACCUCCACCUGGGAGAACCCCCACCACGAGCAGGAGAAAAGGAGCACAACAAGCGGGUGAGUGCGGGCGGCCCGCAGUUUCCUUGGCUCACUCACCAAGCCUGGCUUCAGACAUCCCUUGCAGGAUUACUGGCUGGGCAUCAAUUCAAGCUCCGGGGACACAGGGGACGGGUUGUUCCUCUGCCGGGGGACCAGCUCCGACUC